Chiroxiphia lanceolata (lance-tailed manakin) is the source of this 646-nucleotide long non-coding RNA. RefSeq lists it as uncharacterized. Lineage: Eukaryota; Metazoa; Chordata; Aves; Passeriformes; Pipridae. The transcript has 3 exons. The record is from RefSeq and is a predicted model, not a curated record.
UGAAUGAGGAGAUCUCAUUACCCAGGAUCAGAAUGUGUCUGUCUUGGUGAAUACAAUGACAAAUGGAUUCUUCAAAUCCCUAAUCCACAAGCAUUUCAGAGAGAGAGAUGGUUCAGCAGCACAAGAAAGAUGUACUUUUCCUGGAAGUCUCCUGACUCAACUCCUAUCCUGUACCUGGCAGUGAUUCAGUAGCAUGGCAGUUAUAAUUGAUCAAAAACAUACCUCUGUUAGCAAACAGGAGGAAGCGGGGCAGCAGCACCAGGAUGGUGUUGGACUCUGAGUGCCAAGGUGGAGGGUGGAAAUGAAAAACCUGAAGUCUGGCUCUGUGAUGGCCUUCUGCAUACCUGUGGGCAAGUCACUCUCACUGUCAUGCUGCUCCGGAAGUCUCCCCACGUCUACUCCAAGAGGUAAUUGCUAAGACACAGUAGCACCUUGAGCUUCUACAGUCAUUCCUCCUUCCCAGCUUCAAACCAAAUCCACUUCAUUUAUGAUAAUAAAUGGAAUAUGUUUUUAAACCUAGACUACAGUUUAUGCCCUAAGUAUGUGCAUCUCUCUCUUCAUCCCUCCCAAUGACUUCUACCCUGAUACCUAAGUCCAGAUUUCCAGUUAAUCUGAAUUUCUAUCUUGCCCCUUUGAACUCACAACC